AGAGGGUGAAACUCCCGUCCGCCUGGUAGAAUGAGUCUUUGUCAACGAGUCGAGUUGUUUGGGAUUGCAGCUCUAAUUUGGUGGUAAAUUCCAUCUAAAGCUAAAUAUUGGUGGGAGACUGAUAGCGUACAAGUACCGUGAGGGAAAGAUGCAAAGAAUUUUGAAAAGAGAGUUAAAGAGUGCCUGAAAUUGCUGAAACGGAAACGAGGAAACCAGUGUUUGUUGGUUCAUAUUUCCUUGGCCACUUGUGGUUUGGGCGCUGUGAGCUUGCGUGGGUUUGGGUUGGUUGAUCCCUUUGGAAGAGCGCAGUCAGAGUUGAUGUCU
RNAcentral lists this ribosomal RNA (324 nucleotides) under Pseudo-nitzschia fraudulenta. Its description in RNAcentral is "LSU rRNA". It matches the Rfam family "Eukaryotic large subunit ribosomal RNA", at positions 207 to 543 of the family's 3401-position model. Lineage: Eukaryota; Bacillariophyta; Bacillariophyceae; Bacillariales; Bacillariaceae. The record is from RNAcentral.